GAUGUUCUAACGUGGACCCGUAAUCCGGGUUGCGGACAGUGUCUGGUGGGUAGUUUGACUGGGGCGGUCUCCUCCUAAAGAGUAACGGAGGAGCACGAAGGUUGGCUAAUCCUGGUCGGACAUCAGGAGGUUAGUGCAAUGGCAUAAGCCAGCUUGACUGCGAGCGUGACGGCGCGAGCAGGUGCGAAAGCAGGUCAUAGUGAUCCGGUGGUUCUGAAUGGAAGGGCCAUCGCUCAACGGAUAAAAGGUACUCCGGGGAUAACAGGCUGAUACCGCCCAAGAGUUCAUAUCGACGGCGGUGUUUGGCACCUCGAUGUCGGCUCAUCACAUCCUGGGGCUGAAGUAGGUCCCAAGGGUAUGGCUGUUCGCCAUUUAAAGUGGUACGCGAGCUGGGUUUAGAACGUCGUGAGACAGUUCGGUCCCUAUCUGCCGUGGGCGCUGGAGAACUGAGGG
Molecule: ribosomal RNA, 453 nt
Filed under: Bacteroides ovatus
Lineage: Bacteria; Pseudomonadati; Bacteroidota; Bacteroidia; Bacteroidales; Bacteroidaceae
Description: partial 23S ribosomal RNA
Rfam family: Bacterial large subunit ribosomal RNA
Source: RNAcentral